RNAcentral lists this non-coding RNA (31 nucleotides) under Rattus norvegicus (Norway rat). Lineage: Eukaryota; Metazoa; Chordata; Mammalia; Rodentia; Muridae. The record is from RNAcentral.
UCACUGCGUGCAAUGCAGCCUAUGUUGAAUU